This 300-nucleotide unclassified non-coding RNA is filed under the name Hevea brasiliensis (rubber tree). The record is from RNAcentral. Lineage: Eukaryota; Viridiplantae; Streptophyta; Magnoliopsida; Malpighiales; Euphorbiaceae.
UUCAUAAGAAAUCUCGUUGAUUGAAAAAAUUUAUAUAUAGAAAGCCUAAACAUUAGGCUCUCAAUCAAACCCUAGACCGAGCAAGACCUGAAAUUCUGAAAAUUAUAGCUAAGAUAAAAAAAACCCAGAUUAAUCAAGACCCAAUAAUCUAAUAACUUCAAAGCCUAACUUACCAACAAAAACUCCAAAUAUUCAAUACCCUAUCAAUGAUCACAUAUAACCACAUUAACCCAAUAAACCCAUCAACCAAAAGCCAGGAGAAAUCACCUACCAGGAAAUAAAAAAAAAAGAAAAGCACUU